RNAcentral lists this ribosomal RNA (429 nucleotides) under uncultured archaeon. RNAcentral describes it as "bacterial SSU rRNA". It matches the Rfam family "Archaeal small subunit ribosomal RNA", at positions 474 to 903 of the family's 1478-position model. The record is from RNAcentral.
AACCAGCUCUUCAAGUGGUCGGGAUAAUUAUUGGGCUUAAAGUGUCCGUAGCCGGUUUAGUAAGUUCCUGGUAAAAUCGGGUAGCUUAACUAUCCGCAUGCUAGGAAUACUGCUAUACUAGAGGGCGGGAGAGGUCUGAGGUACUACAGGGGUAGGGGUGAAAUCUUAUAAUCCUUGUAGGACCACCAGUGGCGAAGGCGUCAGACUGGAACGCGCCUGACGGUGAGGGACGAAAGCCAGGGGAGCGAACCGGAUUAGAUACCCGGGUAGUCCUGGCCGUAAACGAUGCAUACUAGGUGAUGGCACGGCCAUGAGCCGUGUCAGUGCCGUAGGGAAACCGUUAAGUGUGCCGCCUGGGAAGUACGGUCGCAAGGCUAAAACUUAAAGGAAUUGGCGGGGAAGCACCAAAAGGGGUGAAGCCUGCGGUUC